Molecule: ribosomal RNA, 581 nt
Filed under: uncultured bacterium
Lineage: Bacteria
Description: bacterial SSU rRNA
Rfam family: Bacterial small subunit ribosomal RNA
Source: RNAcentral
ACGGGUGAGUAAUGUCUGGGGAUCUGCCCGAUAGAGGGGGAUAACCACUGGAAACGGUGGCUAAUACCGCAUAACGUCGCAAGACCAAAGAGGGGGACCUUCGGGCCUCUCACUAUCGGAUGAACCCAGAUGGGAUUAGCUAGUAGGCGGGGUAAUGGCCCACCUAGGCGACGAUCCCUAGCUGGUCUGAGAGGAUGACCAGCCACACUGGAACUGAGACACGGUCCAGACUCCUACGGGAGGCAGCAGUGGGGAAUAUUGCACAAUGGGCGCAAGCCUGAUGCAGCCAUGCCGCGUGUAUGAAGAAGGCCUUCGGGUUGUAAAGUACUUUCAGCGGGGAGGAAGGCGAUAAGGUUAAUAACCUUGUCGAUUGACGUUACCCGCAGAAGAAGCACCGGCUAACUCCGUGCCAGCAGCCGCGGUAAUACGGAGGGUGCAAGCGUUAAUCGGAAUUACUGGGCGUAAAGCGCACGCAGGCGGUCUGUUAAGUCAGAUGUGAAAUCCCCGGGCUUAACCUGGGAACUGCAUUUGAAACUGGCAGGCUUGAGUCUCGUAGAGGGGGGUAGAAUUCCAGGUGUAGC